CUGGGCCUUGAGCUGUCUCUUUCCAACCUGCGGGAGAGAAGAAGAACUUCAGACCCUCCCACAGGAGAGCCUCGCAACACCCUUGUGAGGUUGCGUUGGCCCACUCAGUGUCCCCUACAACAGUGGGCUCUCCCCUGGGCUGUCCAGUUGGCGUUAAUGUGGGGCUACAGCUGAAGUGCCAGGAAUCCCAGCAGACACCCAUCCGCCUUCUCCCUCACGACCAGUGGCAACAUCUUUCUUGGACCACAGGUGGAAGCUCUGGUGUACCAUGAGUCUAGUGGGUGGGAGUGCCCUCCAUGCCUUCGUUUCUCUGAGUAGAAAUGGGAAGCACAAUUAUCGCUACCCCCAUAGCAUUCUGUGAAGAUGAAAUGAGAUAACUGACUUGAAACCACUGUCGGGCUACAAUAUACCGGAUGCACCUCCGAUAUACCCUCAACUGUUGAGUCUCUAUUUUCCAGUCCUUAAAAUGGCCUGAUGGGAAUCCAUUCAACUACCAGGAUCAAUGGUCACUUUACAGUGUCCGCCCCCAGCAGCAGCUUAAGAUGACCUGUGUCCUAGAGUGGUUCCCAAUUACUUGCUGACUUUAGAAAAUCUUUUAGAUUUACUUAUCCUCCCUUCUCCACACUCCUGCCCUACACACCCUUGGAAAGGAGAGACGUCCAACGUGCAGCCCACAACUGGGGACUAGCCAGAGGACAGCCCUAAUUUAAAACCCAAGCUCCCCAGUGGGAGUCCAACACCAACACAUGAUACAACCUUGAAUUAGACCCUCACUUUCCUUCGACUUCAGACUCUUUGUCUCUAAAAUGAAAAUUUGGAUGAGGGGAUCCCUAAGACCUCUACGAUUCUGAGACCCUAUGCAUGACUUUUUCACAAACGUACAACUUCCAGGCCAUCCUGUGGGCACUAGACCCCUCCGGAAGGAGCUCCACGAUCUUACCUCUUCAUAGAUGGUAUUAUUGAGGGAAGGGCCGUGGUUCUUCUUCGUGGAUUCAGACUGGAAAUUCAGACAGUAAAGAGUGCUUAACUUCAAGCUGGGAAAUGUCCCACUCCUAACUGAUGUGAGGCUCCAGAACAGACCUCUGAACCCACUUCCCACACCCACAUACCCCUCAGGCCCGCACGUAUACACAUUCCCAGCACAUACACACGUGUCUUCAGACAGACCUGAUACAAGUACCACCUGUGACCAUGCAUCUCAUCAACACGUAAUAGACACACCCCCGCAGCGUAAGCAGUUCUAGAACACACGUGAGAACUAACCGUAACACCUACCCUGACCCUGAGCACGGUGAAACGCUGGAAACGCUGGAAUUCAGAAGCACUUUCAGUAAUAUGUAGUCUCCCAAACAACACCAAGCAUGUGACCCUGGUGCCUGUGACCAUCCAUAUGUCCUUGUAUUACGGCACAGAACUUAAGUACAAAUAUCCCUUGAGGUGGAAGCCAAGUUGAUUGAACGGCUUAUUGGAAGGAGAGUGAAUAAAAAAGCCUGAAAACCUGUUUGAAACCUCUCCCCCCCAUUUGACCCUGACCUGCAUGUACUCAACACUUCCGCAGUUUGGCACAUUCCCAACUUCCCAUACUCUCAUGUUAAGUUUAUGUCUUCAUACUGUGACUCCAACCUUGGAAAUACCAUUCUUCCAACCCCUCUCCCACCCAAGGUGAAAAGAUGACCAUGGGCACCAGGUACACAUAAGACCUGUGAGCUCAGCUUGGAGCAGGGUUCGAGAGGACCAUGACGGGUUGCCUCAGCCUAGAGCCCUCCAUCAGCAGAUGACUGGCCAGAACCGUUUUCUGGUUCCCUGAAAGUCACCAUUGCGUCUCUCUAGGUCCUGGCUACUCCUCUGGCUCUGGGCUAUAUUCUCCCACCUUGGUAACCCCUCUGGUGUCUCUCUCUGCCAUAGCCUCAGCUGACCUGCUAAGGACUCCAUGGUCCCUGUGCACAAAGCACUGCCCUUCUGUCUCUGAUUGUGCUUGUCUCACAGAAACUCCUAGAGACACUCCUUUAAUCCACUGUUCUCUUAGACUCCGACCUGUUCUUUUUCUCCAAAUAGACUUCUAGUUAGCCCAUUAACAUUUAAGUAGAGCCCUUGAACCCGAGCUGC
Lynx canadensis (Canada lynx) is the source of this 2106-nucleotide long non-coding RNA. RefSeq lists it as uncharacterized. NCBI's taxonomy places the organism in Eukaryota, Metazoa, Chordata, Mammalia, Carnivora, Felidae. The transcript has 2 exons. The record is from RefSeq and is a predicted model, not a curated record.